RNAcentral lists this ribosomal RNA (492 nucleotides) under uncultured bacterium. RNAcentral's name for it is "partial 16S ribosomal RNA". It matches the Rfam family "Bacterial small subunit ribosomal RNA", at positions 29 to 507 of the family's 1533-position model. The record is from RNAcentral.
AGUGAACGCUGGCGGUAGGCCUAACACAUGCAAGUCGAACGGCAGCACAGUAAGAGCUUGCUCUUACGGGUGGCGAGUGGCGGACGGGUGAGGAAUACAUCGGAAUCUACUUUUUCGUGGGGGAUAACGUAGGGAAACUUACGCUAAUACCGCAUACGACCUACGGGUGAAAGCAGGGGAUCUUCGGACCUUGCGCGAUUGAAUGAGCCGAUGUCGGAUUAGCUAGUUGGCGGGGUAAAGGCCCACCAAGGCGACGAUCCGUAGCUGGUCUGAGAGGAUGAUCAGCCACACUGGAACUGAGACACAGUCCAGACUCCUACGGGAGGCAGCAGUGGGGAAUAUUGGACAAUGGGCGCAGGCCUGAUCCAGCCAUACCGCGUGGGUGAAGAAGGCCUUCGGGUUGUAAAGCCCUUUUGUUGGGAAAGAAAAGCAGCAGGUUAAUACCCCGCUGUUCUGACGGUACCCAAAGAAUAAGCACCGGCUAACUUCGUG